RNAcentral lists this ribosomal RNA (452 nucleotides) under Pseudoalteromonas sp. RNAcentral describes it as "bacterial SSU rRNA". It matches the Rfam family "Bacterial small subunit ribosomal RNA", at positions 556 to 1009 of the family's 1533-position model. Lineage: Bacteria; Pseudomonadati; Pseudomonadota; Gammaproteobacteria; Alteromonadales; Pseudoalteromonadaceae. The record is from RNAcentral.
GGGCGUAAGCGUACGCAGGCGGUUUGUUAAGCGAGAUGUGAAAGCCCCGGGCUCAACCUGGGAACUGCAUUUCGAACUGGCAAACUAGAGUGUGAUAGAGGGUGGUAGAAUUUCAGGUGUAGCGGUGAAAUGCGUAGAGAUCUGAAGGAAUACCGAUGGCGAAGGCAGCCACCUGGGUCAACACUGACGCUCAUGUACGAAAGCGUGGGGAGCAAACGGGAUUAGAUACCCCGGUAGUCCACGCCGUAAACGAUGUCUACUAGAAGCUCGGAACCUCGGUUCUGUUUUUCAAAGCUAACGCAUUAAGUAGACCGCCUGGGGAGUACGGCCGCAAGGUUAAAACUCAAAUGAAUUGACGGGGGCCCGCACAAGCGGUGGAGCAUGUGGUUUAAUUCGAUGCAACGCGAAGAACCUUACCUACACUUGACAUACAGAGAACUUACCAGAGAUGG